Non-coding RNA from Ascodesmis nigricans, 84 nucleotides. The record is from the annotation of a GenBank genome assembly. Lineage: Eukaryota; Fungi; Ascomycota; Pezizomycetes; Pezizales; Ascodesmidaceae.
GCUCUGGUGGUCUAGUGGUUAUGAUGCUCGCUUCCCAUGACACGGUACCAGCGGGCGAGCCGAGUUCGAUUCUCGGUCAGAGCA